ACCGCCAAACGAGGACACGUUUAAGCCGACUGGGACAUUCGGUGGUUACCGACAUCCACAAUUGAGCGGAGAGCAAAACAAGUGGCGCCAAAUUCAGUUUUAUACAAACAAUUGCAAGAAGCUAUUUUGAACGACUGCGAUCUCGGUGCGGUAUAAUGUGGGUCGCUAUGGCAGGUAGUGGAGGAGGUUUUGGAGACGAGGGCGAAGAAAUUGCGUUUGAAGAAAUUGCUGUCUCAGGUAAGAGAGGACCAGAGAAUGAGGACAACAACGAGAUGCGGUUUGUGUGGAGGAAAACGGUUGGUGAGGAAUUUAACGUCAUUCUGAAAUCCAAGCAGGGUAGUGAAGUGAACUCGCUGAGUCCGAUUAUAGCCUACAUAACAGCUGAUUUGAAGAAAGCUAUAGGAGACAUAGAGAUGGCGAUAGUCCUAUAUAAUGGGGGUGUAGGCCUAUUGAUUAAAUGCAAAAGUGCGAAACAUUGAGCUAUGAGAGUGUCAGUGUCUGCAAAAAAGAGGCGACAGAAACUGCACCCCAUUCCAGUUAUGGGUCCCUCAUAGGCUAUACACUUCACUUCAGUGAACGUGCGAGACAGUUAACUCUAUUGCCUUUCGUUGGCCAGCUAACGCUGCUAGAAACCGUUACAAUAGGCUAUGCACCACUGGAGCAUUUUCCAUUUAAUGUUAUUGCUCUUAGUAUCAGCCAAAAUAUUCCACUUUUGGUCAUUACUGUUAUCGUUUAUAAGUUUCCAUUAUUCCACUGCCACAACACGUUGCGCAGAAUAAUAGGAAUGUGAUAUUACUCCUCUUGCGCAAGACAUAACACCACCGAAGAAACAUGAACAUCUCUCCCACACACCCAAAAGAGAGCGUUUCCCCGAACACAACAGGUUCUCACGGAGUUAAGAAGCCAAAUAUUUCAUCCAGUCAUGUUCACGGAGCAGCCUCACUGCAUGGUAGCCUAUUAAUCUGACCUCAGAGCAAAUAUGGUACAAAUCCACGGCUUUUCGUGAUACUUAACUAACGUUAGAUUCCACUAGCUACCAAGUGUGUUCGUGUGUGUUCACACAUGCAGUAGAAGAGCAGAUGCUUUUGCUGUGGAGUCUCUGCGUGUGCGUGCGCCAUAGUAGACUAAAAGCCGGGCACCCACCGCACGCGUAUCGACCGCGAACGCACUAGAAACCGUUACAAUAGGCUAUGCAUCACUGGAGCAUUUUCCAUUUAAUGUUAUUGCUCUUAGUAUCAGCCAAAAUAUUCCACUUUUGGUCAUUACUGUUAUCGUUUAUAAGUUUCCAUUAUUAAUGUACCAAGAGUUUCAGACGCAAACAUAGGCUACUCAUUCUUUACAGUUGUCAUGAGUUUUGUUUGAGUUUUGGUUUGCGGGUGCAAGAGUAGCGUAAAGAUACGGUGGACAUGUGGUUAUAUAGGUUAGUGUCAACAAACCUAACAACACUGCCACAACACGUUGCGCAGAAUAAUAGGAAUGUGACAUUACACCUCUUGAGCAAGACAUAACACCACCGAAGAAACACGAACAUCUCUCCCACACACGGAACCAGUGGAGACACGCUACGCGCCGCGCUGUGCUGCUUACGCGCCGCUUACGCUACGCGUGCGGUGGGUGCCCGGCGUUAACACUCGCGCUGCACACAGCAUAUUCUGUAGAGCAUUUUACAUUAAUACAUUUAGCGGUAAUUUGACUUCAACAUUUUGAAAGGUAUGCGGGAUUCUGUUCGCUAAAGCUGAUCUAUGGAGCUUUGGAACUUUGAUUUAAUCACUCGGCAAACCCCAGGCCAGCCUGGAGUUGAAUGGCUACAAAAAACGUGAUAACUUGAUAGUUUAUUUGAAAAAGUAAAACCUUGAAAUUUAUAAUUGAAUUGCAUAAUUGAAACUGAAAGAUUUGCCCAUUUAGAAUGUUGGCUUUUGGCUGUGAAUACAACACAUCAACAUGAGUGCAUUGGUUGAGUUUUAAAUAAUUUAUGGAAAAGUUAAAAGAUCGUUCAGAGGCCAUUAAUAAAUUAAAAUGUGUCCUUAAUUAAAAAAUAUUUUUCUUGACUAACUCUGUUUGGUUUUUAAUUUUAAUGACGCUUCAAUGUAAGGUGGAUUUAGAUAAAUAACCUCUUUCAUUGCAAAUAGAUAUUUCACUUCAGACUCAGCCACAAAUUCCGUUUGCCCGUUAAACGUGAUAACUUUUUUCAUUAGAUAAAUGAAAUUAUAACUAAACUUGUUGAAUUAUGUUUACUCAGGUUCCCUUUGUCAUUUACAUUUAAUCUGAAGAUCUGAAACCAUUCAGUGUGACAAAUAUUCAAUAAUAUAGGAAAUCCGGAAGGAGGAAAAUAACUAGAUAAUCUGCAGUUUGUCAGUGACAGCCAGUGACAGUGACAGCCCUCUCCUGAGCUGAUAUACCCUCUCCUGAGCUGAGUAACCCUUCCUCAGCUUAUAUACCCUCUCUUGAGCUGAGUAACCUCUCCUGAGCUGAUAUACCCUCUCCUGAGCUGACAUUCUCUCUCCUGAGCUGAUAUAUACCCUCUCCUGAGCUGACAUUCUCUCUCCUGAGCUGAUAUAUACCCUCUCCUGAGCUGACAUUCUCUCUCCUGAGCUGAUACACUCUUUCCUGUGAUGAUGAAUGUGAUUCCCUGAUGAGGGACAGAUGUACCAGGAAAAUAAUCAAGAACAAGGACCACCAGUUCCUCGUUGUGGAACCUAACGGCUCCUUGAAGUUUGAGUACAGAAAUGACGUAUCAGAUGAUAGCUGCUUCUUGUUCCAGAUGUAUAAGAACAAUUGCCAAAGCACACCCAGGGGAGUAGCCAUCAUAAUCCAUGUCCUCCUCAAUGAGCAGCAGUGCGUUCUGAGUUGCGUUGAAGAGGGAAAUCAGAAAUACGUUUAUGCAAAACAACCGGAGUCCCCCCUGCCAGAUAUAAUUGAGGACUCCCAACAUGAAGCUGUGUUCUUUCUACAGAGAGUUAGACCACCUGUAGUCAUCCCAGGAAGAGGGGAACAGUAUGGGAAAUACAAGCUAGAAUCUGCUAAGUGGCCAAACUGGUAUUUUAGCUUUAGAGGUGUAGCUGAAGUCACAGAACCUGUUCUGAGCAAAGUCACUGAUGAUAUUGUCAAUGAACAGAUUGAAGUUUCCAUUAUGUCACCAACUUCAUAAAUUUAAAAAACAGAUGAUAAACAACAUCUAAUAAAAAAACAACAAUUUGUAUAAAAAGUAAAACAUAAAUAAAUUUAAAAAAUUUAAAAAGAGAAAUAAAAGUGAACUCAUCAGA
RNA transcript from Anguilla anguilla (European eel), 3263 nucleotides. RefSeq lists it as uncharacterized. Lineage: Eukaryota; Metazoa; Chordata; Actinopteri; Anguilliformes; Anguillidae. The record is from RefSeq and is a predicted model, not a curated record. The transcript is spliced from 4 exons.